AGUAACACAGUGCACGGAUGAGACAUGGAUAGCCAACACAAACAGCAAGGAGAGAGAGGUAUUCAUGGAAAUAUCCUUAUAAGUAGCUAGUCAAAAUAGAGAGAUUUGUGUAGAGAAAAAGAAGCUUUGUGAGAGGAGCGUUAAACUCAAGUAACUAGCUAGAAGAAAAUCAAGGGGAGGUUCUGCUUUUAGCAGAGUCAAAAGGUGAUCUAUUGGCAAGAAAAACAGUGAUCUAAUCAAAUGUAUUUUCCUAAGCGAGGUACAAACAAUUAUUGCUGAGGUGGAGGGCAUAGGCCGUUAAGCGGUGCUGUAGGAGCCAUGAGAGUGUUAACCUAAAAUUGUCAGGGUUUGAAAAGACACUUGGCAUUCCAACAUUUGAAAGGGAUGUGUAAAUCCCACUCCCUCGAGGUUAGUUUUCUCUGUGAAACCAAAAACCAACCUUGACAAAUGGAAAGUAAGCUGAGGGCAUGCGGAUUUAUUAAAUGGUUUCUUUGUAAUCCAUCAGAGACUACGGGAGGACUUGCAUUGGCAUGGAAGGAAUGGAUAGAGGUGACGGUGAUGGAUUCGGAUGAUUUUUUUUAUUACUGCCAGAGUUAAUGAUGCAUCUAAAUAAGAGGAGUGGGGGCUAAUAUGGGUUCAUCUUAGUUGUUCAGAGCCUAACCAAUUGGAACAAUUCCAGAAAUUACCAAUAGUGUUGUAACAGUUUUAAGGUAAAGCUUUUAUUCUUGGUGAUUUCAAUCCUAUUAAAAGUCUCCAAGAAAAGGAGGGUGGAAACAUAGCUUCGGGAUCAUCAAUGGUAGCUUUCAAUAAUUUCAUUAAUGGGAACAACUUGUUGGACCUUGAAAUGGUAGGGAGACUUCGAUUAGAGCAAGCUUACUAUUUGCUGACAACUUUAUCCUAUUCUGUAAAGCAUCCGUCUACACUUGCCAUAAAAUUUUGGAACUAUUGGAGAAAUAUGAACAAGUUAGUGGUUAGAAAGUCAACCUUAGCAAGUCUGCCGUCUUUUUCAGAAAUAAUACUCCCCCAAGUACUAGAGCUACAAUAGCCAAAUGCCUAAAUAUUAGGCAUAUAGGAGCUCAGGAAUAAUAUUUAGGACUACUAUCCAAUGUACAAAAAUCGAAGAAAUCUACCUUUGGAAUGAUUAAAGACAAAGUGUGCAAAAGAGUUGAAGGGUGGAAAC
Molecule: non-coding RNA, 1180 nt
Organism: Arachis ipaensis
Lineage: Eukaryota; Viridiplantae; Streptophyta; Magnoliopsida; Fabales; Fabaceae
Source: RefSeq, a predicted model, not a curated record